This 240-nucleotide long non-coding RNA is filed under the name Capsella rubella. Its description in RNAcentral is "long non-coding RNA (CRUB_LNC004224)". The record is from RNAcentral. Lineage: Eukaryota; Viridiplantae; Streptophyta; Magnoliopsida; Brassicales; Brassicaceae.
ACCACUAGCGAGUUAAAAUAUAAAUAACUAAAAACACAUGAUUAUUCUACUAAAACAAGCUUUUUAGCGUUUCAUAUAUAUUUUAGAAAAUCGAAAGCAUGUUCCGUUUUUAUCCUCUAUAUUAUCAUUCAGUUAUUUUAUCGUUCCAUUAAAUAUACCAAUUUGGCCUUAUGUAAAUCUAGUCAAUUUUAGUAUCAGAAAAAGCUACUCAUCUUUUGUUUUCAAAAAAGGAAAAAAAAA